This 1547-nucleotide long non-coding RNA is filed under the name Canis lupus familiaris (dog). Its description in RNAcentral is "lncRNA (ENSCAFG00845006755.1)". Lineage: Eukaryota; Metazoa; Chordata; Mammalia; Carnivora; Canidae. The record is from RNAcentral.
UUUUGACCUUUUAUGUUUCUUAAGGAACAUUCUUUUAAUUUUUAUUUUUAUUUUAUUUUUUUAAUUUUUAAUUUGAAUUCCAGUUAAAAAACAGAGUAUAAUAUUAGUUUCAGGCAUACAAUUUAGUGAUUGAACACUUCCAUAUAACACCUAAUGCUCAUCACAAGUGCCCUCCUUAAUUCCCAUCACCUAUUUAACCCAUCCCCCUCACAACCUCUUCUCUAGUAACCAUCAGUUUCUUCUCUAUAGUUAAGAGCCUGUUUCUUGGUUUGCCUCUUUUUUCCCCCAUGAUCAUUUGUUUCCUAAAUUUCACAUAAGUAAAAUCAUAUAGUACUUGUCUUUUUCUGACACACGUAUAUAUAGUCUUUUUCUGACUACAUAUAUAUGUAUAUUUAUAUACCGACUAUAUAUAUAAUGCAUAUAUACCACAUCUUCUUUAUUCAUUCCAUUAUAAUAUUUCAUUAUAUAUAUGUCUAGUCCAUUCCAUUAUAAUAUUCAUACAUACACACCCCACAUCUUCUUUAUCCAUUCAUCAGUCGAUGGACAUUUGGGCUCUUUCCAUAAGUUGGUCAUUGUAGAUGCUGCUGCUAUAAACACUGAGGUACAUGUAUCCCUUCUAAUUAAAUUUUUUGUAUCCUUUGGAUAAAUCUCUAGUGGUGCAACUGCUGAUUCAUAAGGUAAUUUUAUUUUUAACUUUCUGAGGAACCUUCAUUCUGUUUUCCAGAGUGGCUGUACCAGUUUACAUUUCCAUCAACAGUGAUGAGGGUUUCCAUUCUCUGCAUCCUCACCAACAUGCUCCUUAAGGUACUUUUAUAAUACCUAGUCUCUCUUGGGAUGCCUGGGUGGCUCAGUGACUGAGCAUCUGCCUUCACCUCAGGGCGUGAUCCCAGAGUCCUGGGAUCAAGUCGCACAUCAGGCUCCCUGCCUGGAGCCUGGUUCUGCCUCUGCCUGUGUCUCUGCCUCUCUCUCCAUGUCUCUCAUGAAUAAAUAAAUAAGAUCUUUAAAAAAAAAUACCUAGUCUCUCUUGUGGUCUUUCCAGUUUUAUCUUUGAAAUUAAUACUUCUUUCAUAACUUUGGCCAACUCAUAAUAUCUUAAUAUCUUUCCAACAUUUACCCGACUUCUUACUUUCUGGAUCCUGAGUUUCACUAUCAGAGGUAAUUGCUUUAUGUAUCUUCUCUCUUCUCUCUCUGCCUCUGUGUCCAUCCAUCUGUCUAUCUCUCCCAUCCUUCCUCCUUGCUUUCCUCUUUCUUUUCCCUUUUACAUGGAGAGGCCCAUACAACAGGUUUUCAGCAAUAAAGAUGCAGAUAUAAUUCCCAAAACCUAAAAUAGGCAAAAGUAGCUGAGACUAGCAGAAACCACGUAACAGUAGGUGAGGAGAAACACUGUUGGAGAAGUGUAGUGGUAGUGCAGAUUCCAGAAAAUGAAAGCAAAAAGUAUGCCCUGAAGUUAUAUAACAUACCUAAGUUGUCUUGUUUGCAAUCACAGGUAUGGGAACAGAGGUGAGUUGAGUUGUCAGCAGAAUCCAACAGAGUCAGGUUUAAAGAAG